GUGGGGAAUAUUGGACAAUGGGGGGAACCCUGAUCCAGCCAUGCCGCGUGUGUGAAGAAGGCCUUUUGGUUGUAAAGCACUUUAAGCGAGGAGGAGGCUACCGAGAUUAAUACUCUUGGAUAGUGGACGUUACUCGCAGAAUAAGCACCGGCUAACUCUGUGCCAGCAGCCGCGGUAAUACAGAGGGUGCAAGCGUUAAUCGGAUUUACUGGGCGUAAAGCGCGCGUAGGUGGCCAAUUAAGUCAAAUGUGAAAUCCCCGAGCUUAACUUGGGAAUUGCAUUCGAUACUGGUUGGCUAGAGUAUGAGAGAGGAUGGUAGAAUUCCAGGUGUAGCGGUGAAAUGCGUAGAGAUCUGGAGGAAUACCGAUGGCGAAGGCAGCCAUCUGGCCUAAUACUGACACUGAGGUGCGAAAGCAUGGGGAGCAAACAGGAUUAGAUACCCGUGUAGUCC
This 451-nucleotide ribosomal RNA is filed under the name uncultured bacterium. Its description in RNAcentral is "partial 16S ribosomal RNA". It matches the Rfam family "Bacterial small subunit ribosomal RNA", at positions 354 to 796 of the family's 1533-position model. The record is from RNAcentral.